AUUGAACGCUGGCGGCGUGCCUAACACAUGCAAGUCGAGCGGUAACAGGUGUAGCAAUACAUGCUGACGAGCGGCGGACGGGUGAGUAACGCUUGGGAAUCUGCCUGAUAGUGGGGGACAACCCGGGGAAACUCGGAUUAAUACCGCAUACGCCCUAAGGGGGAAAGCAGGGGAUCUUCGGACCUUGCACUAUUGGAAGA
RNAcentral lists this ribosomal RNA (200 nucleotides) under uncultured bacterium. RNAcentral's name for it is "partial 16S ribosomal RNA". It matches the Rfam family "Bacterial small subunit ribosomal RNA", at positions 30 to 228 of the family's 1533-position model. The record is from RNAcentral.